GAUGAAGAACGUAGCGAAAUGCGAUAAGUAGUGUGAAUUGCAGAAUUCAGUGAAUCAUCGAAUCUUUGAACGCACAUUGCGCCCCUUGGUAUCCCGAGGAGCAUGCCUGUUCGAGCGUCAUUUCACCACUCAAGCCUGGCUUGGUGUUGGGCGACGUCCCCUUUGGGGACGCGCCUCGAAACGCUCGGCGGCGUGGCACCGGCUUUAAGCGUAGCAGAAUCUUUCGCUUUGGAAGUCGGGGCCCCGUCUGCCGGAAGACCUACUCGCAAGGUUGACCUCGGAUCAGGCAGGGAUACCCGCUGAACUUAAGCAUAUCAAUAAGCGGAGGA
This 329-nucleotide unclassified non-coding RNA is filed under the name soil metagenome. RNAcentral's name for it is "partial contains 5.8S ribosomal RNA, internal transcribed spacer 2, and large subunit ribosomal RNA". The stretch from base 1 to 120 matches the Rfam family "5.8S ribosomal RNA", at positions 35 to 154 of the family's 154-position model. The record is from RNAcentral.